RNAcentral lists this ribosomal RNA (910 nucleotides) under uncultured archaeon. RNAcentral's name for it is "bacterial SSU rRNA". It matches the Rfam family "Archaeal small subunit ribosomal RNA", at positions 1 to 917 of the family's 1478-position model. The record is from RNAcentral.
UUCCGGUUGAUCCUGCCGGAGGUCACUGCUAUUGGGAUUCGACUAAGCCAUGCGAGUCGAGAGGGUUCGGCCCUCGGCUGACGGCUCAGUAACACGUGGAUAAUCUGCCCUAGGGUGGAGGAUAACCUCGGGAAACUGAGAAUAAUACUCCAUAGGUCUAAGAUGCUGGAAUGCAUUUAGACUGAAAACUCCGGUGCCCUAGGAUGAGUCUGCGGACUAUCAGGUUGUAGUCAGGGUAAAGACCUGACUAGCCUACGACGGAUACGGGUUGUGAGAGCAAUAACCCGGAGAUGAUAUCUGAGACACGAUAUCAGGCCCUACGGGGCGCAGCAGGCGCGAAAACUUCACACUGUGCGAAAGCGCGAUGAGGGAAUCCCAAGUGCUUGCACGUAAGUGUAAGCUGUUUUUAUGUUUAAAAUGCAUAGAGAGUAAGGGCUGGGUAAGACGGGUGCCAGCCGCCGCGGUAAUACCUGCAGCUCAAGUGGUGAUCAUUAUUAUUGGGCCUAAAACGUUCGUAGCCGGUUUAGUAAAUGCCUGGGUAAAUCGUGUAGCUUAACUAUACGGAUUCCGGGUAGACUGCUAAACUUGAGACCGGGAGAGGCUAGAGGUACUCCUGGGGUAGAGGUGAAAUUCUGUAAUCCAAGGGGGACCACCAGUGGCGAAGGCGUCUAGCUAGAACGGGUCUGACGGUGAGGGACGAAGCCCUGGGGCGCAAACCGGAUUAGAUACCCGGGUAGUCCAGGGUGUAAACGCUGCUUGCUUGAUGUUAGUCGGGCUCCGAGCCCGAUUAGUGUCGGAGAGAAGUUGUUAAGCAAGCUGCCUGGGGAGUACGGUCGCAAGGCUGAAACUUAAAGGAAUUGGCGGGGGAGCACAGCAACGGGUGGAGCGUGCGGUUUAAUUGGAUUCAACG